This 379-nucleotide unclassified non-coding RNA is filed under the name soil metagenome. Its description in RNAcentral is "partial contains 5.8S ribosomal RNA, internal transcribed spacer 2, and large subunit ribosomal RNA". The stretch from base 1 to 120 matches the Rfam family "5.8S ribosomal RNA", at positions 35 to 154 of the family's 154-position model. The record is from RNAcentral.
GAUGAAGAACGCAGCGAAAUGCGAUAAGUAAUGUGAAUUGCAGAAUUCAGUGAAUCAUCGAAUCUUUGAACGCACCUUGCACCCUUUGGCAUUCCGAAGGGUAUGCUCGUUUGAGUGUCAUUGUACUCUCACACUUCCAAUCUUUGGAUUGGGAGCGGUGGACUUGGGUGUUGCUGCUUACUGUGGCUCACCUCAAAUCGAUUCGUGCACCUCUUGGUUGGACAUAGUACGGCGUGAUAAGUGUCUUCGCCGGCACCUCAGUAGAGGGUGGCUGAUCAGGAGCUCUGUGCUUCAAACCGUCCUCGGACAACAACUGACAACUUGACCUCAAAUCGAGUAGGACUACCCGCUGAACUUAAGCAUAUCAAUAAGCGGAGGA